CUCUGGUCUAGUUAUUUUCUCCCUAUAGACCCUAACUAUAACUCUGGUCUAGUUAUAUUCUCCCUAUAGGCCCUAACUAUAACUCUGGUCCUGGUCUAGUUAUAUUCUCCCUAUAGGCCCUAACUAUAACUCUGGUCUAGUUAUAUCCUCCCUAUAGGCCCUAACUAUAACUCUGGUCCUGGUCUAGUUAUAUCCUCCCUAUAGGCCCUAACUAUACCUCUGGUCUAGUUAUAUUCUCCCUAUAGACCCUAACUAUAACUCUGGUCCUGGUCUAGUUAUAUCCACCCUAUAGGCCCUAACUAUAACACUGGUCUAGUUAUAUUCUCCCUAUUGGCCAUAACUAUAACUCUGGUCUAGUUUUAUUCUCCCUAUAGGCCCUAACUAUAACUCUGGACAUGGUCUAGUUAUAUUCAUCCCAAUAGGCCCUAACUAUAACUCUGGUCUUGGUCAAGUUAUAUUCUCCCUAUAGGCCCUAACUAUAACUCUGGUCCUGGUCUAGUUAUAUUCUCCCUAUAGACCCUAACUAUAACUCUGGUCUAGUUAUAUUCUCCCUAUAGGCCCUAACUAUAACUCUGGUCCUGGUCUAGUUAUAUU
RNAcentral lists this long non-coding RNA (594 nucleotides) under Salmo salar (Atlantic salmon). RNAcentral's name for it is "lncRNA (ENSSSAG00000112934.1)". Lineage: Eukaryota; Metazoa; Chordata; Actinopteri; Salmoniformes; Salmonidae. The record is from RNAcentral.